RNAcentral lists this unclassified non-coding RNA (2109 nucleotides) under Limulus polyphemus (Atlantic horseshoe crab). RNAcentral describes it as "zinc finger protein 64-like, transcript variant X3". The record is from RNAcentral. Lineage: Eukaryota; Metazoa; Arthropoda; Merostomata; Xiphosura; Limulidae.
UUGCGCCACCACCCCCUUUGUAGACAGACUAUCGCCAGGAGUCGACCCACCCCCUCGUCUCCCCCUUCCCCUCAGAUGUCACGUGGCUAGUAUUGACGUCAGUCGUUCCUCAUGACACGCGCAUGGGGUGGAGUUCGUCCUGUUUUCUGUGGGCUGUGGUGGGUGGAGGGGUGUACGGGUACUGCUCGCGGUAGGAGAGUCACGAAGAGGAGUAAAACGGCCACAUACAGCAGCGUCUUGAGUGGAAGAGAAGUUGGUUUCAACCAGAGAUUUUCCUCAAAGGAACUGAGAACCCAAAUAAUGCAAUAUGGAGACAGUUGACAGCUACACCUUCCAGAACAAGAUUAAUCAAAGUCUUCAAGAAGAUGAUGCCCUUUUUACAAAUCAGAAUGUUGGAAGGCAAGUUGAAGCUCUGUUUGAAGCUGGUAGUCAUAACUUACAGAAUGGUAUCAGCUACACUGGAAAUGGACAUGAAUUAUUGGGGCAUUCUUUAACACAACCACCACAAGUAAAUACAUCAUUGACUGGCACCUUAAGUAUGUUAGAUUACAAUAAAACCAAUGAAUUUGCACCAUUUUUAAACUCUGGAAAGAGGUCUUGGGUGUUUGGGAAAGAUCGUUUGAGUUGGGAUGGUUCCCCUGUAGCUAGUUAUAAUGUUGAGAGUAAACUUUUUCGCUGUGUUGUAUGUAACACUACAGGUUUUCUCUCACGAAUUGCAGAACAUUAUCUUGGUACCCAUGCUAAUGCUAAGGUAUUUCAGUGCCCUCGAUGCCCAUACAGCAGUGCAUGGUCAAGAUGUGUUCGCAUGCACAUGAGUAAACACCAUGGAAUACAAAAUGCUCCAGAAUCAUUAUGGAGAGGUCAACCUCUGCUGGAUGAAAUUGUAAGGAUUUUGACCAAGCUAAAGAAUACAGUGGAUGGUACAAGUAAGGAUCUCCUGAGAUCCCCAGUUCCAGAUAAAAGAUAUGCAUGCCCUAAAUGUCCAUAUGCCACAGAUAGAAAAGAUUUGUAUUCUCGCCAUGAAAACAUCCAUAAAGAUGAUAAACCAUUCCAUUGCUAUGUUUGUCUUAAGAUGUUCAAUAGAGCAGACCAUGUGAAAAAGCACUUCUUCCGAAUUCAUAAAGAACACUCAUAUGACAUCAGUCGCAUCAGGCGAUAUCCUACUAAGACUGGUGCUGUUAAUGGAGAAGUUUCAAGAAAAGCUACUUUAAAUGUAAUGAACAUGCAAUCUCACUGUAGUUUUCAGUCUACUGUACAUGCCAAUCAUCCUAUGGUAAAUAAGCAAAACAAUGAAAAUCUUGACGUGGAUCAAAAAAAUGUCAAGAAACGACCACCAAAAUCUUUUCAAUGUACCUAUUGUUCAUGGCGAGGAGUUGACAGUUGGUGUUUACGUCGCCACUUGAACACACACAUCAAACCAUUUGCUUGUUCCCUUUGUGAAUACAAGGCUGCUCGAUCUGAGCGAUUGGCUACCCACAUAUUGAAGAUACAUAAAAAACAUGCAUGCUGCAAAUGUACUUUUCUGACAGAUACCGAGAAGUUAUUAUGGACACAUGUUAGGGAAAACCACAUUCACUCUUCAGAUGCUACUUUGAAGUGUAGUCAGUGUAGUGAUACAUUUGAUUCCCGAUCAGACCUGGAAACACACUGUAUAUUAAUCCAUAAGAAAUCUUUGCUAGAAUGUUGUAUUGAUAACUGCGAUUUUCGUACCACAGAUAUUGCAAUACUUAAUCAACAUCGUCUGGAAAAACAUGGUACCCAUCGAGGUCUUUAAAGAUGGUUGAAGAGUCAAGCUAUAGUGACCAUCACAAGCUUUUGAUGAAAAAUUUGACCAAUAGUCAAGAGGUCCAGCAUUUAUGGGACAGGCUAGUUAAAGCCAAGUGGAACUUGAUAAAGGACCGAGCAGACUUAAAAAUGUCACUGGCCCAAAUCAAAAGACAACGGCAACACUGAAAGUUCUGUUGGUGGAUUAAAGUGAGUGAAGUAAAGCCUCAACCACUUUCUGAGGUGAAUGUAUGUUUCGUAUUUUAUUUUUAAUUUGGACUGCCCUUCAUCUUCCACACUCAUGAGUGCAUGUGAAAGACAGGAGCCUAGCAGUUUGUUUUUUAU